This 301-nucleotide ribosomal RNA is filed under the name uncultured bacterium. Its description in RNAcentral is "partial 16S ribosomal RNA". It matches the Rfam family "Bacterial small subunit ribosomal RNA", at positions 509 to 807 of the family's 1533-position model. The record is from RNAcentral.
CAGCAGCCACGGUAAUACGAAGGGUGCAAGCGUUACUCGGAAUUACUGGGCGUAAAGCGUGUGUAGGUGGUGGUUUAAGUCCGUUGUGAAAGCCCUGGGCUCAACCUGGGAAUUGCAGUGGAUACUGGGUCACUAGAGUGUGGUAGAGGAUAGUGGAAUUUCCGGUGUAGCAGUGAAAUGCGUAGAGAUCGGAAGGAACAUCUGUGGCGAAGGCGACUAUCUGGGCCAACACUGACACUGAGGCACGAAAGCGUGGGGAGCAAACAGGAUUAGAUACCCGUGUAGUCCCUGUCUCUUAUAC